AGUGAACGCUGGCGGUAGGCCUAACACAUGCAAGUCGAACGGCAGCACAGUAAGAGCUUGCUCUUACGGGUGGCGAGUGGCGGACGGGUGAGGAAUACAUCGGAAUCUACUUUUUCGUGGGGGAUAACGUAGGGAAACUUACGCUAAUACCGCAUACGACCUACGGGUGAAAGCAGGGGAUCUUCGGACCUUGCGCGAUUGAAUGAGCCGAUGUCGGUUUAGCUAGUUGGCGGGGUAAAGGCCCACCAAGGCGACGAUCCGUAGCUGGUCUGAGAGGAUGAUCAGCCAAACUGGAGAUGAGACACGGUCCAGACGCCUACGGGAGGCAGCAGUGGGGAAUAUUGGACAAUGGGCGCAAGCCUGAUCCAGCCAUACCGCGUGGGUGAAGAAGGCCUUCGGGUUGUAAAGCCCUUUUGUUGGGAAAGAAAAGCAGCAGGUUAAUACCCCGCUGUUCUGACGGUACCCAAAGAAUAAGCACCGGCGAACUUCGU
This 491-nucleotide ribosomal RNA is filed under the name uncultured bacterium. RNAcentral's name for it is "partial 16S ribosomal RNA". It matches the Rfam family "Bacterial small subunit ribosomal RNA", at positions 29 to 506 of the family's 1533-position model. The record is from RNAcentral.